GCCUGGGGUAGCUUAGUCACUAGAGCAUGAGACUCUUAAUCUCAAGGUCAGGGGUUUGAGCCCUAAAUUGGGCA
Podarcis lilfordi (Lilford's wall lizard) is the source of this 74-nucleotide non-coding RNA. The record is from the annotation of a GenBank genome assembly. NCBI's taxonomy places the organism in Eukaryota, Metazoa, Chordata, Lepidosauria, Squamata, Lacertidae.